RNAcentral lists this ribosomal RNA (404 nucleotides) under Bacillota bacterium. RNAcentral describes it as "Firmicutes bacterium partial 16S ribosomal RNA". It matches the Rfam family "Bacterial small subunit ribosomal RNA", at positions 355 to 776 of the family's 1533-position model. The record is from RNAcentral. RNAcentral also lists the same sequence under 2 other names. Lineage: Bacteria; Bacillati; Bacillota.
UGGGGAAUAUUGGACAAUGGGGGCAACCCUGAUCCAGCAAUGCCGCGUGUGUGAAGAAGGUCUUCGGAUUGUAAAGCACUUUCGACGGGGACGAUGAUGACGGUACCCGUAGAAGAAGCCCCGGCUAACUUCGUGCCAGCAGCCGCGGUAAUACGAAGGGGGCUAGCGUUGCUCGGAAUGACUGGGCGUAAAGGGCGUGUAGGCGGUUUGUACAGUCAGAUGUGAAAUCCCCGGGCUUAACCUGGGAGCUGCAUUUGAUACGUGCAGACUAGAGUGUGAGAGAGGGUUGUGGAAUUCCCAGUGUAGAGGUGAAAUUCGUAGAUAUUGGGAAGAACACCGGUGGCGAAGGCGGCAACCUGGCUCAUUACUGACGCUGAGGCGCGAAAGCGUGGGGAGCAAACAGG